AUGCUGAGCGGGACACCGACGACACCCAGGACCCGGCCCGGCAGCGCGGAAGGAGCCGUCCCGCCUCCCGCUCCGCGCAGCACUCACCCCCAGCACCGGACGCACCACUCCCGAAGCCACAGCCACAGUAGGAGCGCCCGCGCCGUCGAGGCUAGCGCCGGUCCCGGCGGGACGCCCCGCCCCCAGGCUCGGCUCACCGCCCAUUGGCUGCUGGAGGCGGUGAUUUGCAUAGCUGCGCCCCGCCCCCGCCCGUCGGGGGCUGGAUCUGUACGGGAAGCGUGGGGGUGCGCGGGGUGGUCCUGCCUGGCAGCCGGCACCGUGGGUAUCGCCGGCCCCUUCCCGCCCGCUUCGGACGUGGGCGCGGAAAUACCGUGCCGGACCGGCAAAUGGGGACGCACAUCAAACCUCUGCUGCCGGUCAGUGUGUGAGAGGAGGCGAGCUCCGCAUAGUGCUGCAUGGCAACCGACAGCUCCCGUGCAAUGGGAACUGAGUUGCUGCAGGUACAGCUCUGACACCCAGCGGCCACUUCACUCACGACCUGCUCCUGGAUUCCAGAGCAUUUCAAACUUGGCUUCAAUUGAUACGGCUUUUGUCGCCAAAAGGAUCAUUUCAGCUUUAAAACCAAUGCCCUUCUGUGAUUUCCAUAGGAAAGUAAAGCCGUCUUGCACCCUCUCUUUCUGAAACAGGCUAGUCUCCAAGAAUGUACCUCACUUCUUAUUCUUUGUUACACCGGUAAGUUUCCUUCCUCAUAGUCUUUGGCCCAGAUUUGUAAGAUACAUAAAUCACAGACAGCUUUUUCAAAGAUCCAAAAGUGGGAUACCUCUGCCUUUUUCUGCAGGUGUUGUGUUUUACUUCUUUUUUCUUCUUCUUUUUUUUUUGCCUUGGUCUCUCUGGAAGCAACUACAGAAUGAAAUUGCUGUAUCCAGCUGUGUAAAACUGCUUCCUGCUAAGCAAGGUUUGAUAAUGAGUCUACAGAUCCUCAUAAAAACAAAGCAAAACAAAAAUUACAGUCUUCAUUUAGUUCAUUGCAGUAAAAGGUAUAGACAGUUUAGGAUAUUGCUUUAUUGCUUUCACACUGCUUUCCACAGCCCUGGCUUUAUAAGAUGCUCAUUUGUAAAGAAGAGGCCUUGAAUCAUCUGUAUUAGAUUUCUG
This 1152-nucleotide long non-coding RNA is filed under the name Numida meleagris (helmeted guineafowl). Its description in RNAcentral is "lncRNA (ENSNMEG00000021172.1)". Lineage: Eukaryota; Metazoa; Chordata; Aves; Galliformes; Numididae. The record is from RNAcentral.